Molecule: ribosomal RNA, 253 nt
Filed under: uncultured bacterium
Lineage: Bacteria
Description: partial 16S ribosomal RNA
Rfam family: Bacterial small subunit ribosomal RNA
Source: RNAcentral
UACGGAGGGUGCAAGCGUUGUCCGGAUUUAUUGGGUUUAAAGGGUGCGUAGGCGGCCCGUUAAGUCAGCGGUGAAAUCCCGGGGCUCAACCCCGGAACUGCCGUUGAUACUGGCGGGCUUGAGUUCGGUCGAGGCGGGCGGAACUGGCGGUGUAGCGGUGAAAUGCUUAGAUACCGCCAAGAACCCCGAUUGCGUAGGCAGCUCGCUUGGCCGAAACUGACGCUGAGGCACGGAAGCGUGGGGAGCGAACAGG